Molecule: ribosomal RNA, 497 nt
Filed under: uncultured bacterium
Lineage: Bacteria
Description: partial 16S ribosomal RNA
Rfam family: Bacterial small subunit ribosomal RNA
Source: RNAcentral
GAUGAACGCUGGCGGCGUGCCUAAUACAUGCAAGUCGAGCGAACAGACGAGGAUCUUGCUCCUCUGACGUUAGCGGCGGACGGGUGAGUAACACGUGGAUAACCUACCUAUAAGACUGGGAUCACUUCGGGAAACCGGAGCUAAUACCGGAUAAUAUAUUGAACCGCAUGGUUCAAUAGUGAAAGACGGUUUUGCUGUCACUUAUAGAUGGAUCCGCGCCGCAUUAGCUAGUUGGUAAGGUAACGGCUUACCAAGGCGACGAUGCGUAGCCGACCUGAGAGGGUGAUCGGCCACACUGGAACUGAGACACGGUCCAGACUCCUACGGGAGGCAGCAGUAGGGAAUCUUCGGCAAUGGGCGAAAGCCUGACGGAGCAACGCCGCGUGAGUGAUGAAGGUCUUCGGAUCGUAAAACUCUGUUAUUAGGGAAGAACAAAUGUGUAAGUAACUAUGCACGUCUUGACGGUACCUAAUCAGAAAGCCACGGCUAACUACGUG